RNAcentral lists this ribosomal RNA (2909 nucleotides) under Escherichia coli. Its description in RNAcentral is "23S ribosomal RNA". It matches the Rfam family "Bacterial large subunit ribosomal RNA". Lineage: Bacteria; Pseudomonadati; Pseudomonadota; Gammaproteobacteria; Enterobacterales; Enterobacteriaceae. The record is from RNAcentral.
GGUUAAGCGACUAAGCGUACACGGUGGAUGCCCUGGCAGUCAGAGGCGAUGAAGGACGUGCUAAUCUGCGAUAAGCGUCGGUAAGGUGAUAUGAACCGUUAUAACCGGCGAUUUCCGAAUGGGGAAACCCAGUGUGUUUCGACACACUAUCAUUAACUGAAUCCAUAGGUUAAUGAGGCGAACCGGGGGAACUGAAACAUCUAAGUACCCCGAGGAAAAGAAAUCAACCGAGAUUCCCCCCAGUAGCGGCGAGCGAACGGGGAGGAGCCCAGAGCCUGAAUCAGUGUGUGUGUUAGUGGAAGCGUCUGGAAAGGCGCGCGAUACAGGGUGACAGCCCCGUACACAAAAAUGCACAUGCUGUGAGCUCGAUGAGUAGGGCGGGACACGUGGUAUCCUGUCUGAAUAUGGGGGGACCAUCCUCCAAGGCUAAAUACUCCUGACUGACCGAUAGUGAACCAGUACCGUGAGGGAAAGGCGAAAAGAACCCCGGCGAGGGGAGUGAAAAAGAACCUGAAACCGUGUACGUACAAGCAGUGGGAGCACAGAGCAAUCUGUGUGACUGCGUACCUUUUGUAUAAUGGGUCAGCGACUUAUAUUCUGUAGCAAGGUUAACCGAAUAGGGGAGCCGAAGGGAAACCGAGUCUUAACUGGGCGUUAAGUUGCAGGGUAUAGACCCGAAACCCGGUGAUCUAGCCAUGGGCAGGUUGAAGGUUGGGUAACACUAACUGGAGGACCGAACCGACUAAUGUUGAAAAAUUAGCGGAUGACUUGUGGCUGGGGGUGAAAGGCCAAUCAAACCGGGAGAUAGCUGGUUCUCCCCGAAAGCUAUUUAGGUAGCGCCUCGUGAAUUCAUCUCCGGGGGUAGAGCACUGUUUCGGCAAGGGGGUCAUCCCGACUUACCAACCCGAUGCAAACUGCGAAUACCGGAGAAUGUUAUCACGGGAGACACACGGCGGGUGCUAACGUCCGUCGUGAAGAGGGAAAACAACCCAGACCGCCAGCUAAGGUCCCAAAGUCAUGGUUAAGUGGGAAACGAUGUGGGAAGGCCCAGACAGCCAGGAUGUUGGCUUAGAAGCAGCCAUCAUUUAAAGAAAGCGUAAUAGCUCACUGGUCGAGUCGGCCUGCGCGGAAGAUGUAACGGGGCUAAACCAUGCACCGAAGCUGCGGCAGCGACACUGUGUGUUGUUGGGUAGGGGAGCGUUCUGUAAGCCUGUGAAGGUGUGCUGUGAGGCAUGCUGGAGGUAUCAGAAGUGCGAAUGCUGACAUAAGUAACGAUAAAGCGGGUGAAAAGCCCGCUCGCCGGAAGACCAAGGGUUCCUGUCCAACGUUAAUCGGGGCAGGGUGAGUCGACCCCUAAGGCGAGGCCGAAAGGCGUAGUCGAUGGGAAACAGGUUAAUAUUCCUGUACUUGGUGUUACUGCGAAGGGGGGACGGAGAAGGCUAUGUUGGCCGGGCGACGGUUGUCCCGGUUUAAGCGUGUAGGCUGGUUUUCCGAGGCAAAUCCGGAAAAUCAAGGCUGAGGCGUGAUGACGAGGCACUACGGUGCUGAAGCAACAAAUGCCCUGCUUCCAGGAAAAGCCUCUAAGCAUCAGGUAACAUCAAAUCGUACCCCAAACCGACACAGGUGGUCAGGUAGAGAAUACCAAGGCGCUUGAGAGAACUCGGGUGAAGGAACUAGGCAAAAUGGUGCCGUAACUUCGGGAGAAGGCACGCUGAUAUGUAGGUGAAGUCCCUCGCGGAUGGAGCUGAAAUCAGUCGAAGAUACCAGCUGGCUGCAACUGUUUAUUAAAAACACAGCACUGUGCAAACACGAAAGUGGACGUAUACGGUGUGACGCCUGCCCGGUGCCGGAAGGUUAAUUGAUGGGGUCAGCGCAAGCGAAGCUCUUGAUCGAAGCCCCGGUAAACGGCGGCCGUAACUAUAACGGUCCUAAGGUAGCGAAAUUCCUUGUCGGGUAAGUUCCGACCUGCACGAAUGGCGUAAUGAUGGCCAGGCUGUCUCCACCCGAGACUCAGUGAAAUUGAACUCGCUGUGAAGAUGCAGUGUACCCGCGGCAAGACGGAAAGACCCCGUGAACCUUUACUAUAGCUUGACACUGAACAUUGAGCCUUGAUGUGUAGGAUAGGUGGGAGGCUUUGAAGUGUGGACGCCAGUCUGCAUGGAGCCGACCUUGAAAUACCACCCUUUAAUGUUUGAUGUUCUAACGUGGACCCGUGAUCCGGGUUGCGGACAGUGUCUGGUGGGUAGUUUGACUGGGGCGGUCUCCUCCUAAAGAGUAACGGAGGAGCACGAAGGUUGGCUAAUCCUGGUCGGACAUCAGGAGGUUAGUGCAAUGGCAUAAGCCAGCUUGACUGCGAGCGUGACGGCGCGAGCAGGUGCGAAAGCAGGUCAUAGUGAUCCGGUGGUUCUGAAUGGAAGGGCCAUCGCUCAACGGAUAAAAGGUACUCCGGGGAUAACAGGCUGAUACCGCCCAAGAGUUCAUAUCGACGGCGGUGUUUGGCACCUCGAUGUCGGCUCAUCACAUCCCUGGGGCUGAAGUAGGUCCCAAGGGUAUGGCUGUUCGCCAUUUAAAGUGGUACGCGAGCUGGGUUUAGAACGUCGUGAGACAGUUCGGUCCCUAUCUGCCGUGGGCGCUGGAGAACUGAGGGGGGCUGCUCCUAGUACGAGAGGACCGGAGUGGACGCAUCACUGGUGUUCGGGUUGUCAUGCCAAUGGCACUGCCCGGUAGCUAAAUGCGGAAGAGAUAAGUGCUGAAAGCAUCUAAGCACGAAACUUGCCCCGAGAUGAGUUCUCCCUGACCCUUUAAGGGUCCUGAAGGAACGUUGAAGACGACGACGUUGAUAGGCCGGGUGUGUAAGCGCAGCGAUGCGUUGAGCUAACCGGUACUAAUGAACCGUGAGGCUUAACCUU